CCUACGGGAGGCAGCAGUGAGGAAUAUUUGUCAAUGGACGAGAGUCUGAACCAGCCAAGUAGCGUGAAGGAUGACUGCCCUAUGGGUUGUAAACUUCUUUUAUAUGGGAAUAAAAUGUUCCACGUGUGGGAUUUUGUAUGUACCAUAUGAAUAAGGAUCGGCUAACUCCGUGCCAGCAGCCGCGGUAAUACGGAGGAUCCGAGCGUUAUCCGGAUUUAUUGGGUUUAAAGGGAGCGUAGGUGGAUUGUUAAGUCAGUUGUGAAAGUUUGCGGCUCAACCGUAAAAUUGCAGUUGAAACUGGCAGUCUUGAGUACAGUAGAGGUGGGCGGAAUUCGCGGUGUAGCGGUGAAAUGCUUAGAUAUCACGAAGAACUCCGAUUGCGAAGGCAGUUCACUGGACUGCAACUGACACUGAGGCUCGAAAGUGUGGGUAUCAAACAGGAUUAGAUACCCUUGUAGUC
RNAcentral lists this ribosomal RNA (460 nucleotides) under uncultured bacterium. RNAcentral's name for it is "partial 16S ribosomal RNA". It matches the Rfam family "Bacterial small subunit ribosomal RNA", at positions 338 to 795 of the family's 1533-position model. The record is from RNAcentral.